AACGAACGCUGGCGGCGUGCCUAACACAUGCAAGUCGUGCGAGAAAGUUCCCUUCGGGGGAUGAGUAAAGCGGCGCACGGGUGAGUAACACGUAGGUAACCUACCCCCGAGCCUGGGAUAACCUACCGAAAGGUGGGCUAAUACCGGAUAUGACCCCGGAGGUUGCGGCCUCUGUGGUGAAAGGUGGCCUCUGCUUGCAAGCUACCACUUGAGGAUGGGCCUGCGCGCCAUUAGCUAGUUGGUGGGGUAACGGCCUACCAAGGCUAUGAUGGCUAGUUGGUCUGAGAGGAUGACCAGCCACACUGGGACUGAAACACGGCCCAGACUCCUGCGGGAGGCAGCAGUGGGGGAUAUUGCGCAAUGGGCGAAAGCCUGACGCAGCGACGCCGCGUGGGUGAUGAAGGCCUUCGGGUCGUAAAGCCCUGUCGAGGGGGACGAAACAGCUCCGAUCAAAUAGGUCGGGGCCUUGACGGUACCCCUAAAGGAAGCACCGGCUAACUCCGUGCCAGCAGCCGCAGUAAUAC
Molecule: ribosomal RNA, 524 nt
Filed under: uncultured bacterium
Lineage: Bacteria
Description: bacterial SSU rRNA
Rfam family: Bacterial small subunit ribosomal RNA
Source: RNAcentral